This 483-nucleotide ribosomal RNA is filed under the name uncultured bacterium. RNAcentral's name for it is "partial 16S ribosomal RNA". It matches the Rfam family "Bacterial small subunit ribosomal RNA", at positions 28 to 523 of the family's 1533-position model. The record is from RNAcentral.
GACGAACGCUGGCGGCGUGCUUAACACAUGCAAGUCGAACGAUGAAGCCGGAGCUUGCUCCGGUGGAUUAGUGGCGAACGGGUGAGUAACACGUGAGCAAUCUGCCCUUGACUCUGGGAUAACUGCGGGAAACUGUAGCUAAUACCGGAUACGACACCUUGGGGCAUCCCAGGGUGUGGAAAGAAUUUCGGUCAAGGAUGAGGUCGCGGCCUAUCAGCUAGUUGGUGAGGUAAUGGCUCACCAAGGCGACGACGGGUAGCCGGCCUGAGAGGGUGACCGGCCACACUGGAACUGGGACACGGUCCAGACUCCUACGGGAGGCAGCAGUGGGGAAUAUUGCACAAUGGGCGAAAGCCUGAUGCAGCAGCGCCGCGUGAGGGAUGAAGGCCUUCGUGUUGUAAACCUCUUUUAGCAGGGAAGAAGCGAAAGUGACGGUACCUGCAGAAAAAGCACCGGCUAACUACGUGCCAGCAGCCGCCGUAA